This 207-nucleotide ribosomal RNA is filed under the name uncultured bacterium. RNAcentral's name for it is "partial 16S ribosomal RNA". It matches the Rfam family "Bacterial small subunit ribosomal RNA", at positions 568 to 774 of the family's 1533-position model. The record is from RNAcentral.
GGUGUAGGCGGCUUUAUAAGUCAGGUGUGAAAUCCCAGAGCUCAACUCUGGAAGUGCACUUGAUACUGUUUAGCUUGAGUGUGGUAGAGGCUAUUGGAAUUCCUGGUGUAGUGGUAAAAUACGUAGAUAUCAGGAGGAAUACCGGAGGCGAAGGCGGAUAGCUGGGCCAACACUGACGCUGAGACCCGAAAGCGUGGGGAUCAAACA